RNAcentral lists this ribosomal RNA (301 nucleotides) under uncultured bacterium. Its description in RNAcentral is "partial 16S ribosomal RNA". It matches the Rfam family "Bacterial small subunit ribosomal RNA", at positions 509 to 807 of the family's 1533-position model. The record is from RNAcentral.
CAGCAGCCGCGGGAACACGUAGGGUGCGAGCGUUGUCCGGAAUUAUUGGGCGUAAAGAGCUUGUAGGUGGUUUGUCGCGUCUGCUGUGAAAAUCCGAGGCUCAACCUCGGACUUGCAGUGGGUACGGGCAGACUAGAGUGUGGUAGGGGAGACUGGAAUUCCUGGUGUAGCGGUGGAAUGCGCAGAUAUCAGGAGGAACACCGAUGGCGAAGGCAGGUCUCUGGGCCAUUACUGACACUGAGAAGCGAAAGCAUGGGGAGCGAACAGGAUUAGAUACCCCCGUAGUCCCUGUCUCUUAUAC